GGACCCGCACAAGCGGUGGAUGAUGUGGAUUAAUUCGAUGCAACGCGAAAAACCUUACCUACCCUUGACAUGCCACUAACGAAGCAGAGAUGCAUUAGGUGCCCGAAAGGGAAAGUGGACACAGGUGCUGCAUGGCUGUCGUCAGCUCGUGUCGUGAGAUGUUGGGUUAAGUCCCGCAACGAGCGCAACCCUUGCCGAUAGUUGCUACGAAAGGGCACUCUAUCGGGACUGCCGGUGACAAACCGGAGGAAGGUGGGGAUGACGUCAAGUCCUCAUGGCCCUUAUGGGUAGGGCUUCACACGUCAUACAAUGGCUGGUACAGAGGGCUGCCAACCCGCAAGGGGGAGCCAAUCCCAGAAAACCAGUCGUAGUCCGGAUUGCAGUCUGCAACUCGACUGCAUGAAGUCGGAAUCGCUAGUAAUCGCGGAUCAGCAUGUCGCGGUGAAUACGUUCCCGGGUCUU
RNAcentral lists this ribosomal RNA (462 nucleotides) under uncultured bacterium. Its description in RNAcentral is "bacterial SSU rRNA". It matches the Rfam family "Bacterial small subunit ribosomal RNA", at positions 917 to 1382 of the family's 1533-position model. The record is from RNAcentral.